RNAcentral lists this ribosomal RNA (404 nucleotides) under uncultured bacterium. Its description in RNAcentral is "bacterial SSU rRNA". It matches the Rfam family "Bacterial small subunit ribosomal RNA", at positions 355 to 775 of the family's 1533-position model. The record is from RNAcentral.
UGGGGAAUCUUGCGCAAUGGGCGAAAGCCUGACGCAGCAACGCCGCGUGCGGGAAGACGGCCUUAGGGUUGUAAACCGCUUUCAGCAGGGACGAAAAUGACGGUACCUGCAGAAGAAGCUCCGGCUAACUACGUGCCAGCAGCCGCGGUAAUACGUAGGGAGCGAGCGUUGUCCGGAUUUAUUGGGCGUAAAGAGCUCGUAGGCGGUUUGGUAAGUCGGGUGUGAAAGCUCCGGGCUCAACUCGGAGAGGUCACUCGAUACUGCCAUGACUGGAGUCCGGUAGGGGGGUGUGGAAUUCCCAGUGUAGCGGUGAAAUGCGCAGAUAUUGGGAGGAACACCAAUGGCGAAGGCAGCACCCUGGGCCGGUACUGACGCUGAGGAGCGAAAGCGUGGGGAGCAAACAG